CAGCGCCUUGCUUCGGAUAAAAUGGCGGAUCUCGAUUCAAAAACAAGKAUAUUUAGCUGAUUUCCUGGCUAGAGURCAGUCCUAAAGCUUUGUAAUGUGACUGCCUAAUCCCUUGCUGUCCUUGAGUAUUGUAUUCAGUAACACUUUAAAUUCGGAUGCCGCGAUUUUUACGUAAAUCCCCAGCAAAAGAAAGUAAGAAAGAUAAGAAAACUGAAAAAAAGAAAAAGACGAAAGAAAAUUCAAAAGACAAAACAYCUUGGAAAUCGCAGCCUGGAACAUUAUAUGAUGAAGAAGAAGAAGAAGAAAACUUCAUGCAAAAUGGAUUUAUUGGAGUUGGACGGUGU
This is a long non-coding RNA of Exaiptasia diaphana, 344 nucleotides long. RefSeq lists it as uncharacterized. Lineage: Eukaryota; Metazoa; Cnidaria; Anthozoa; Actiniaria; Aiptasiidae. The transcript has 3 exons. The record is from RefSeq and is a predicted model, not a curated record.